Molecule: long non-coding RNA, 832 nt
Organism: Hibiscus syriacus
Lineage: Eukaryota; Viridiplantae; Streptophyta; Magnoliopsida; Malvales; Malvaceae
Exons: 4
Source: RefSeq, a predicted model, not a curated record
AAUAGUUAUGAUUUUGCAAACACCUAAUUCCAUCUUAAGCUAGGGUAGCUCUAUUUCCUUGCACGGUUUUUCUUCUUCACUGCAACGUAAUUGACAUUUUUGUUUAAGAAGCUAAAACAUGCACUGAGAUAGGCUGAGCAUACUGCAAAUAAAAAAGUAGAGAUAUCUUAAGCUCAUCAGUCCAUCAUAUAUUAAGAUACUAAAAGCUCUGCUCUUUCAGUGAUCGGGUGGCUACAGAGCGUGCACUGGACCUUCCCAUUUAUUUCGGAGAUUCUGGUAGUGAAGAGGUGCUUCAUAAUGUUGGUGCUGAAAGAGCAUGUGCUGCAGCAAUAACCUUGGAUUUUCCUGGUGCCAAUUAUAGAAAAGUUUGAACUCUGAGCAAGUAUUUCCCUAAUGUGAAGACUUUUGUCUGAUCACGGCCUUAGUUUAGAGAAGGCCGGCGCUACAGCUGUUGUGCCGGAGAGCUUGGCACCCAGUCUGCAGCUGGCAGCCGCUGUUCUUGCACAGGCUAAACUUCCUGCGUUGGAGAUUGCAGAAACAAUCAAUGAAUUUAGAUGCCGCCAUCUUGCGGAGCUAACAGAGGUAUUCCUGACUUGCUCUUGUUGAUACCGGAAAAUUUUAAAUCACCGAUAUUAAAUGUUGAACAAGAUAGACCAUGUUCUCUGUUGUAUUCAAAUUUCAAACCUGACAUGUUUACGUAAAAUUGCCAGGCUACUGGAAGUUCUACUGGCUAUGGAUUUUCUGAGUCAUGAGUAAACCCUAAAGUUCAAUGAUAAGAUACUUCGGAUGAUAACAAUGCCAUUGAAGGAACUUUUGCAAUAUGAAAGAUUCA